RNAcentral lists this long non-coding RNA (932 nucleotides) under Amborella trichopoda. RNAcentral's name for it is "long non-coding RNA (ATRI_LNC003569)". Lineage: Eukaryota; Viridiplantae; Streptophyta; Magnoliopsida; Amborellales; Amborellaceae. The record is from RNAcentral.
ACGCCUUCAUCCCGGGUCGAAACAAGCCCAGAUUUUUAGAGGAUGUUCGUCUCAUCGGCCCUAUCAUUUUGAUAUAUGGCAUGCCCGAUGGCAUGGCCCGAGCUGAGAGAAAUCGAAGAGAGAAGAUCACCAUUGGAAAAGCAUAAGUUGCAGAUUUUUCAAGAAGAAGGUCCCUUCAACCAAAUGACCGUAUUAGGUCGCUCGCAUAACGGAUCGGCUUGAAAAUGGACCCAUUGCGACCCGGAGGUCAAGGACUCCAUUCGAGCCAAACAUUGCACAUGAUGAACGGUCGGAUUUGCUGCAUUUCAGGGACAAAGGCAUUUUUCGGCCAUUGAAAUCCCAAUUCCGACCAAAAUUCCCCAAUAUAGAAGGUAAUCAUUCGAGCACCAAAUUGAGCUGCCAAACGAUCAUGACGACUUGCUUGUCAUUCUACAACAGAGAAAUCGAAGGAAAGACAUAGAGAAACGAGUGCAAUCUUGAAUCUAAGAUCGCAAGUUUCUCCCAUCUUUGCCGCCUCAAGUUUACAGCUCGAAACCUCGAUCCAUAGCUCAAAAUCUACACCAAGAUGAUCACCUCACCGAGCUUAUCAAGUUUACAAUGUUAUUUUGGCCGAAAGAUGGCCAGAAAGAUCCCAUACUAGCUACGUGAAAUCAUAAGAACGUUCAUGGUCAUGGAAGGACUGUUUUGGAAUUAGCAGGAUUAUGGGAGAGGGGUAAAAUCGUCAUUUUGCCUUUAAUUUUUAGCUUUUAUUUAAUUUAGAAAAUGUAUAUUUUUCAGCAAUUAGGUUAGUUUUGAGCAUCCACACAUGUUUUUAGUGGUUGCCUAUAUGUAACCAGCAUGUAAUAACUGAUGGAUCUUUUGAUCUUUUGAUCCUUUUGAUAAUCCUUUUGGCAUCCCUUGAUUACCCUGGUAAUCGCCCCUUUUUACUUACG